UGCCGCGUGAGUGAAGAAGGCCUUCGGGUUGUAAAGCGCUUUUGUCCGGGAAGAAAAGGUUACGGCUAAUAUCCUUGGCUCAUGACGGUACCUGAAGAAUAAGCACCGGCUAACUACGUGCCAGCAGCCGCGGUAAUACGUAGGGUGCAAGCGUUAAUCGGAAUUACUGGGCGUAAAGCGUGCGCAGGCGGUUUUGUAAGACUGACGUGAAAUCCCCGGGCUCAACCUGGGAAUGGCGAUUGUGACUGCAUGGCUAGAGUUUGGCAGAGGGGGGUGGAAUUCCACGUGUAGCAGUGAAAUGCGUAGAUAUGUGGAGGAACACCGAUGGCGAAGGCAGCCCCCUGGGUCAAAACUGACGCUCAUGCACGAAAGCGUGGGGAGCAAACAGGGAUUAGAUACCCUGGGUAGUCCACGCCCCUAAAACGAUGUCUACUAGGUGUCGGGGUCUUAAUUUGACUUGGUAACGCAAGCUAACGCGUGAAAGUAUGACCCGCCUGGGGGAGUACGGUCGCAAGAUUUGAAACUCAAAGGAAUUUGACGGGGACCCCGCACAAGCGGUGGGAUGAUGUGGAUUAAUUUCGAUGCAACGCGAAAAACCUUACCUACCCUUUGACAUGG
RNAcentral lists this ribosomal RNA (618 nucleotides) under proteobacterium Se3Ps_2758. RNAcentral's name for it is "bacterial SSU rRNA". It matches the Rfam family "Bacterial small subunit ribosomal RNA", at positions 395 to 989 of the family's 1533-position model. Lineage: Bacteria; Pseudomonadati; Pseudomonadota. The record is from RNAcentral.